This 255-nucleotide ribosomal RNA is filed under the name uncultured bacterium. RNAcentral's name for it is "partial 16S ribosomal RNA". It matches the Rfam family "Bacterial small subunit ribosomal RNA", at positions 524 to 776 of the family's 1533-position model. The record is from RNAcentral.
UACGGGGGGAGCAAGCGUUGUUCGGAUUUACUGGGCGUAAAGGGCGCGUAGGCGGCCACCGCAAGUCAGUUGUGAAAUCUCUGGGCUUAACCCAGAACGGUCAGCUGAUACUGCGGGGCUAGAGUGCAGAAGGGGCGACUGGAAUUCUCGGUGUAGCGGUGAAAUGCGUAGAUAUCGAGAGGAACACCUGCGGCGAAGGCGGGUUGCUGGGCUGACACUGACGCUGACAGCGCGAAAGCUAGGGGAGCGAACGGG